Molecule: ribosomal RNA, 2932 nt
Filed under: Enterovibrio norvegicus
Lineage: Bacteria; Pseudomonadati; Pseudomonadota; Gammaproteobacteria; Vibrionales; Vibrionaceae
Description: bacterial LSU rRNA
Rfam family: Bacterial large subunit ribosomal RNA
Source: RNAcentral
GUUGUAUGGUUAAGUGACUAAGCGUACACGGUGGAUGCCUUGGCAGUCAGAGGCGAUGAAGGACGUAGUAACUUGCGAUAAGCCCAGAUAAGGCAGUAACAGCCAUUUGAAUCUGGGAUUUCCGAAUGGGGAAACCCACGUGCAUAAGCACGUAUCAUGCAGUGAAUACAUAGCUGUAUGAGGCGAACUCGGGGAACUGAAACAUCUAAGUACCCGAAGGAAAAGAAAUCAAUUGAGAUUCCGGCAGUAGCGGCGAGCGACCCCGGAUUAGCCCUUAAGCGGUUUAAGUGUUAGUGGAAUCAUCUGGAAAGGUGAGCGAUACAGGGUGAUAGCCCCGUACACGACAAUGCUUUUAUCGUGAAAACGAGUAGGACGGGACACGUGUUAUCUUGUCUGAACAUGGGGGGACCAUCCUCCAAGGCUAAAUACUCCUGACUGACCGAUAGUGAACCAGUACCGUGAGGGAAAGGCGAAAAGAACCCCUGUGAGGGGAGUGAAAUAGAACCUGAAACCGUGUACGUACAAGCAGUGGGAGCCCACUUUGUUGGGUGACUGCGUACCUUUUGUAUAAUGGGUCAGCGACUUACUUUUAGUAGCAAGGUUAACCGUAUAGGGGAGCCGUAGGGAAACCGAGUCUUAACUGGGCGUUGCAGUUGCUAGGAGUAGACCCGAAACCGAGUGAUCUAGCCAUGGGCAGGUUGAAGAUUGAGUAACAUCAAUUGGAGGACCGAACCGACUAAUGUUGAAAAAUUAGCGGAUGACUUGUGGCUAGGGGUGAAAGGCCAAUCAAACUCGGAGAUAGCUGGUUCUCCCCGAAAUCUAUUUAGGUAGAGCCUCGGACGAAUACUACUGGGGGUAGAGCACUGUUAAGGCUAGGGGGUCAUCCCGACUUACCAACCCUUUGCAAACUCCGAAUACCAGUAAGUACUAUCCGGGAGACACACGGCGGGUGCUAACGUCCGUCGUGAAGAGGGAAACAACCCAGACCGCCAGCUAAGGUCCCAAAGUUAUCGCUAAGUGGGAAACGAUGUGGGAAGGCUCAGACAGCCAGGAUGUUGGCUUAGAAGCAGCCAUCAUUUAAAGAAAGCGUAAUAGCUCACUGGUCGAGUCGGCCUGCGCGGAAGAUGUAACGGGGCUAAGCGAUACACCGAAGCUGCGGCAAUGUGCUUUAUGCAUAUUGGGUAGGGGAGCGUUCUGUAAGCCGUUGAAGGUGAACUGUAAGGUUUGCUGGAGGUAUCAGAAGUGCGAAUGCUGACAUGAGUAACGAUAAAGGGAGUGAAAAACUCCCUCGCCGGAAGACCAAGGGUUCCUGUCCAACGUUAAUCGGGGCAGGGUAAGUCGACCCCUAAGGCGAGGCUGAAAAGCGUAGUCGAUGGGAAACGGGUUAAUAUUCCCGUACUGCUUAUAACUGCGAUGGGGGGACGGAGAAGGCUAGGUGGGCCUCGCGACGGUUGUCGAGGUUCAAGUGCGUAGGCUGGUGUCUUAGGUAAAUCCGGGACGCCCUCUUUAAGUAGAGAAGGCUGAGACACGAUGUCGAGCCACUACGGUGGUGAAGUCAUUGAUGCCAUGCUUCCGGGAAAAGCCUCUAAGCUUCAGGUUAUAAGGAAUCGUACCCCAAACCGACACAGGUGGUCGGGUAGAGAAUACCAAGGCGCUUGAGAGAACUCGGGUGAAGGAACUAGGCAAAAUGGUACCGUAACUUCGGGAGAAGGUACGCUCUUGGCGGUGAAGUCCCUUGCGGAUGGAGCUACUAGGAGUCGCAGAUACCAGGUGGCUGCAACUGUUUAUUAAAAACAUAGCACUGUGCAAAAUCGAAAGAUGACGUAUACGGUGUGACGCCUGCCCGGUGCCGGAAGGUUAAUUGAUGGGGUUAUCUUCGGAGAAGCUCUUGAUCGAAGCCCCGGUAAACGGCGGCCGUAACUAUAACGGUCCUAAGGUAGCGAAAUUCCUUGUCGGGUAAGUUCCGACCUGCACGAAUGGCGUAAUGAUGGCCACGCUGUCUCCACCCGAGACUCAGUGAAAUUGAAAUCGCAGUGAAGAUGCUGUGUACCCGCGGCUAGACGGAAAGACCCCGUGAACCUUUACUACAGCUUGGCACUGAACAUUGACCCUACAUGUGUAGGAUAGGUGGGAGCCUUUGAAGCAUCGUCGCUAGAUGGUGUGGAGGCAAUCUUGAAAUACCACCCUUGUAUGCUUGAUGUUCUAACGUUGGCCCCUUAUCGGGGUUGCGGACAGUGCCUGGUGGGUAGUUUGACUGGGGCGGUCUCCUCCCAAAGAGUAACGGAGGAGCACGAAGGUGGGCUAAUCACGGUCGGACAUCGUGAGGUUAGUGCAAUGGCAUAAGCCCGCUUGACUGCGAGAAUGACAAUUCGAGCAGGUGCGAAAGCAGGUCAUAGUGAUCCGGUGGUUCUGAAUGGAAGGGCCAUCGCUCAACGGAUAAAAGGUACUCCGGGGAUAACAGGCUGAUACCGCCCAAGAGUUCAUAUCGACGGCGGUGUUUGGCACCUCGAUGUCGGCUCAUCACAUCCUGGGGCUGAAGUCGGUCCCAAGGGUAUGGCUGUUCGCCAUUUAAAGUGGUACGCGAGCUGGGUUUAGAACGUCGUGAGACAGUUCGGUCCCUAUCUGCCGUGGGCGUUGGAUGAUUGAGAGGGGCUGCUCCUAGUACGAGAGGACCGGAGUGGACGAACCUCUGGUGUUCGGGUUGUCACGCCAGUGGCAUUGCCCGGUAGCUAAGUUCGGAAUCGAUAACCGCUGAAAGCAUCUAAGCGGGAAGCGAGCCUCAAGAUGAGUCAUCCCUAGACCUUUAAGGUCUCUAAAGGGUUGUUGAAGACUACGACGUAGAUAGGCAGGGUGUGUAAGUGCUGCGAGGCAUUGAGCUAACCUGUACUAAUUGCCCGUGAGGCUUAACCAUACAACACCCAAGGGGUUUUAG